CGAAUGAAGAGAUUYAUCGUCAGCGUAUUCAGUAUUAAUGCAGGCUAUGAUGUGAUGAUAGAAUCCUUGUGGUCACUAGAUUAUACUUGCUUGUAUUAUUUUUGCUGGGUAGGUCGGCGUGCACUUCUCUUCUAGUAGAACGUCGCAACCCGUUGGAUGUUUAUUUAUGGCCUAAAUGGUAGCCUCUGAUAUUUUAAAAUAUCGAAGACCUUUGGUGUCCUGAUAAGCUGUYUGACGGUAAACAUAUAGUAUUGAGCCGCAAUUAUUUGCGUUAGACUUACCGCAAGUAAGAUUUUAGUCUAGUAGUGCAGAUCUAAUGCUGUCGCUGGGCAAAGUCUACUGUUAGCUGUGUAAUGUCUUUAACUGGCUUAUUUACUGGUUAGCGAUG
Molecule: ribosomal RNA, 388 nt
Filed under: Diolcogaster sp. HD-345
Lineage: Eukaryota; Metazoa; Arthropoda; Insecta; Hymenoptera; Braconidae
Description: partial 28S ribosomal RNA
Source: RNAcentral